RNAcentral lists this ribosomal RNA (253 nucleotides) under uncultured bacterium. Its description in RNAcentral is "partial 16S ribosomal RNA". It matches the Rfam family "Bacterial small subunit ribosomal RNA", at positions 524 to 776 of the family's 1533-position model. The record is from RNAcentral.
UACGUAGGGUGCGAGCGUUGUCCGGAAUUAUUGGGCGUAAAGGGCGCGUAGGCGGUGCGGUAAGUCACCUGUGAAACCUCUAGGCUCAACCUAGAGCCUGCAGGCGAAACUGCCGUGCUUGAGGGUGGGAGAGGUGCGUGGAAUUCCCGGUGUAGCGGUGAAAUUCGUAGAUAUUCGGAAGAACACCAGUGGCGAAGGCGACUUACUGGACACAUAUUGACGCUGAGGUGCGAAAGCGUGGGGAGCAAACAGG